GACAGGUGAUGCAAGCGUUAUCCGGAUUGAUUGGGCGUAAAGCGUCUGUAGGUGGCUUGGUAAGUCUGCUGUCAAAGCCCCGGGCUUCACCCUGGACAGGCAGUGGAAACUACCGAGCUUGAGUACGGUAGGGGCAGAGGGAAUUCCCGGUGGAGCAGUGAAAUGCGUAGAGAUCGGGAAGAACGCCCAUAGCGAAGGCACUCUGCUGGGCCGACACUGACACUCAGAGACGAAAGCUAGGGGAGCGAAUGGG
RNAcentral lists this ribosomal RNA (253 nucleotides) under uncultured bacterium. RNAcentral's name for it is "partial 16S ribosomal RNA". It matches the Rfam family "Bacterial small subunit ribosomal RNA", at positions 524 to 776 of the family's 1533-position model. The record is from RNAcentral.